RNAcentral lists this long non-coding RNA (1955 nucleotides) under Homo sapiens (human). Its description in RNAcentral is "HSALNT0306098". The record is from RNAcentral. Lineage: Eukaryota; Metazoa; Chordata; Mammalia; Primates; Hominidae.
CUCCCACCCCCGCCAUCUGAGGCAACCACAACUGGAAUUUCUAUCAUAUUGUGUUAAAUUACUACUUCUAGAAAUUCAUGUAAAUGAAAUCAACCAGAAUGUGAUGUUUUCAGAUAUAUGAUCUCUGGUUGUUUUGUGAUCCCAGGAUCUACUGAGAUGUAUAGCAUAAGAAGUUAUACACAUCCUGGAUUUUGAUAUAGUGAUUAGAAGGCAUCAUUCUGGAAGAUGGGGAAACACCAGUGAACAAAAUGACAUCUGCCUUCAUGGAAUUUAUGUGCAGGCAGAAGAAAGACAAAAUUAAAAGUGACAUGGAAGUAAAAUAUAUUAUAUGUUAUAUACAGGUGGAUAAAUUCAGUGUAUCUGUCAUGUAUGACAGAUAAAUAUCCUGUCAUACAUGUGCAGAGGCAAGCCUGGGGUGCACAAGUAAUAAACCAUUGCAAUAAUCCAAGUAGAAAGUGUUGAGGGCCUAUAUUCGCAGGACAACUGGUGAAGUAUUUUUGAGGUAGAAUCAGCAGGAUACGGUAGUCAGCUGAAGAGAACAGAUGUCUGAAUUUUUCAUAUCACGAUUCUCCUUGUAAUAUAAACAUUUUUCUUUUAAAAAAUUACUGCAAGUGGACUCUUUGGAACAAUACCUCUUUAUUUUUGGUGCUUUUAAUGGUUGUAGGAAAAAGAUCUUUAGAGCAACAGGACAAAAAAAAGAGUAAAUGAUCUUUCUAGUCUCAUGCUUUGCCAUGAAUAUUGUCCCAUCUGGCCCCUGCAAUCUCCAUCUCUACUACUGAAAGGAUAUUCCAUAAAGCAUUUAUGAGUUCCAGCUUUAGCGUACGGGAGUCUGUGACCCACAAAUUGGCAAGGCAGACCACUAUAGGCGGAAUAAUCAUGUAUUUUUAAAAACUGGCAUCUUUCAAUUGUGAGAAAAAAUGAUAGUGUGAAUUAGACCAUAUGCCUGUUCUCGGAAUGUAAUUAUUACUGGCUCUAGCUAACAUCGCCUGAAUCUCAAAUACAAACUAAAGAAGAUCUGUGGCUUUGAUACAUGCUGAGAAACUUUCAAUGAUGUAACAAAGCAUCUGAAUUGGGAAGCAGGAAAAAGCUUUAACUCUUUUGCUUAAUAUGAUGUAAUUUAGUAAAUAUCUUCUGUAUGGUAUGAUAUGUAAAGGUGUAUGUUGUAGGGAUAUGUUUCUGGUUGAUGAAUUGAAAAGUAAAGGGAACAAAAAACAGUUAUUCAACUGGUUAAAUGACUCUACAAGAUACCAGGCUAUAAUUUUGACUGACAUUGUAACUCAAAUGACCUUGGCUGACAAUAGCCUAUGUUAUGGUAUUGCUUAGACAUAUCUUAAAGAAGGCCAUCAAGCCUCAAAAUAGUAAAAAUAUCCAGAACAGAAAAAAAUCCAACAACAUGGAAAGCUCAAGCUCAACUUUGGGAUAAGAUGUGACAUGGUUUGGCUGUGUCCCCACCCAAAUCUCAUCUUGAAUUGUAGUUCCCGUAUUCCCCACGAGUCAUGGGAGGGACCCAGUGGGAGGUAAUUGAAUCAUGGGAGCAGUUACCUCCAUGCUAUUCUCCUGAUAGUUCUCAUGAGAUCUGAUUGUUUUAUAAGGGGCUUUUCACCCUUUUGCUUCGCACUUCUCCUUCCUGCCACCAUGUGAAGAAGGCCAUAUUUGCUUCCCCUUCUGCCAUGAUUGUUUCCUGAGGCCUCCCCAGCCAUGCGGAACUGUGAGUAAAUUAAGCCUCUUUUCUUUAUAAAUUACUCAGUCUCAGGCAGUUCUUUAUAGCAGCAUAAGAACGGACUAAUAGAAGAUGGUUUUGUGUCUUCAGAACAAGCUACUCUACUUUCAUCUGUACAAUAUCAACAGAAAAGUGUAGUAGAAAACUAAAUGAAAAUAAUCAGAGACACCUGGCUGUUUACAGCUGGUAUGUUUAUUCACCUUUCUUGUGAUCCUAAAAAUGUUUUUAAGUUUCC